UGCUAAUACCGCAUACGCCCUACGGGGGAAAGGAGGGGACCUUCGGGCCUUCCGCGAUUGGAUGAACCUAGGUGGGAUUAGCUAGUUGGUGAGGUAAUGGCUCACCAAGGCGACGAUCCCUAGCUGUUCUGAGAGGAUGAUCAGCCACACUGGGACUGAGACACGGCCCAGACUCCUACGGGAGGCAGCAGUGGGGAAUAUUGCACAAUGGGGGAAACCCUGAUGCAGCCAUGCCGCGUGUGUGAAGAAGGCCUUCGGGUUGUAAAGCACUUUCAGUAGGGAGGAAAGGUUGCAGUUUAAUAAACUGUAGCUGUGACGUUACCUACAGAAGAAGGACCGGCUAACUCCGUGCCAGCAGCCGCGGUAAUACGGAGGGUCCGAGCGUUAAUCGGAAUUACUGGGCGUAAAG
RNAcentral lists this ribosomal RNA (409 nucleotides) under Shewanella putrefaciens. RNAcentral describes it as "bacterial SSU rRNA". It matches the Rfam family "Bacterial small subunit ribosomal RNA", at positions 161 to 565 of the family's 1533-position model. Lineage: Bacteria; Pseudomonadati; Pseudomonadota; Gammaproteobacteria; Alteromonadales; Shewanellaceae. The record is from RNAcentral.